GGAGAGAUGGCUGAGUGGUUGAAAGCACCGGUCUUGAAAACCGGCAAGGGUUAAUAGCCCUUCUAGGGUUCAAAUCCCUAUCUCUCCG
Molecule: transfer RNA, 88 nt
Organism: Salinivibrio sp. KP-1
Lineage: Bacteria; Pseudomonadati; Pseudomonadota; Gammaproteobacteria; Vibrionales; Vibrionaceae
Rfam family: tRNA
About the family: Transfer RNA (tRNA) molecules are approximately 80 nucleotides in length. Their secondary structure includes four short double-helical elements and three loops (D, anti-codon, and T loops).
Source: Rfam